GAUGAAGAACGCAGCGAAAUGCGAUAAGUAAUGUGAAUUGCAGAAUUCAGUGAAUCAUCGAAUCUUUGAACGCACAUUGCGCCCGCCAGUAUUCUGGCGGGCAUGCCUGUCUGAGCGUCAUUUCAACCCUCAUGCCCCUAGGGCGUGGUGUUGGGGAUCGGCCAAAGCCCGCGAGGGACGGCCGGCCCCUAAAUCUAGUGGCGGACCCGUCGUGGCCUCCUCUGCGAAGUAGUGAUAUUCCGCAUCGGAGAGCGAUGAGCCCCUGCCGUUAAACCCCCAACUUUCCAAGGUUGACCUCAGAUCAGGUAGGAGUACCCGCUGAACUUAAGCAUAUCAAUAAGGGAGGA
Molecule: unclassified non-coding RNA, 347 nt
Filed under: soil metagenome
Description: partial contains 5.8S ribosomal RNA, internal transcribed spacer 2, and large subunit ribosomal RNA
Rfam family: 5.8S ribosomal RNA (bases 1-120)
Source: RNAcentral